RNAcentral lists this ribosomal RNA (107 nucleotides) under Labrus bergylta (ballan wrasse). Lineage: Eukaryota; Metazoa; Chordata; Actinopteri; Labriformes; Labridae. The record is from RNAcentral.
GCUUACGGCCAUACCACCCUGAACAUGCCCGAUCUCGGAAGCUAAGCAGGGUCGGCCUGGUUAGUACUUGGAUGGGAACCGCCUGGGAAUACCAGGUGCUGUAAGCU